Molecule: long non-coding RNA, 228 nt
Filed under: Musa acuminata (dwarf banana)
Lineage: Eukaryota; Viridiplantae; Streptophyta; Magnoliopsida; Zingiberales; Musaceae
Description: long non-coding RNA (MACU_LNC011639)
Source: RNAcentral
GAGAGCUUUGUCCAAUCGUACCAAGCCCAAAGAUAUGACUUCCAAGAGAGGGGAAGCUCUAUGACCAACCCCAACUAUCCAUGCAUGAGAGUAGAUUUCCCUAGAUGGGAAGAAGGAGACCCGAUUGGUUGGAUCUCGCGCGCGGAGCGAUAUUUUCGGUACCAUAAAACCGCGGAUGCAUCUAUGGUGAAAAUUGCAGCUAUACAUCUUGAAGGGGAUGCUAUACAG